GCAGGGCCCAGGAGCAGGACCAGGACAGGAACCAAGGAGCAGGCUUGAGCCCCCUAAACCCCAGCCUGGGAGUGCUGGCUGCAGCCAGUGCGUGCUGGGUCCUUGGUACCCCAGGGAGAGGUCAUUAGUCUCCUCAGAGCCCCUAGUUUGCUCUCUUGGCUGGGACAGUGGGUGGGGCACUGGGAAAGGAGCUGGGUCAUAAGCUGAACGAGGUUGUCUUAUUCUGCGAGGUGAGGGAAUGACCACUGCUAAGCAGGCUCCCACAAACAGAAUGCUUUCCACAUCCAUCCUUGUCACUGCCGCUGAGCCCACCACUAGAAGACAUCCCUCCCAGUUGGACAGUCUUUGCCUCUAACCGUCACCAACACUCAUGGGGGGUGACUGCUUCCUUGAAGAUCUGUGUCAUCAACCAGAGCGACAGGAACCCUCCACCACGUGGCAAAGAUCAAACACGAUGCAUUAAAAGCCAGGACCAAGAAGGGGCCCACAAAGCCCUGCCCUGAACACCUCCUGCUCUUGCUGGUCUUGCAAGUCUACAGCCAGGUGUGGGUGGAGAAGCCAGUGGCCAAUCUAAAGAUGCUGCCACAUGGAUCGUGCAGGACCAGAGAGAGUCCUUGUUGCUCCUGGCGAGAUACAAAGGCUGGUCUUUCACCAGGGCAGCUUGUGCUAGCCUUUCAGCCUGACUCUUGGCCUAAGGGUGCUAAGGCGAGUCCUUGGGUGAGAUUCCUGCUAACAAGACCCCUUCUGUCAGUUGAGGAAAGCAGGCUCCUGCCAGAGAAGAUGACAUGGAACAAGCUGCAUGACAUCUGCCCCAGAGGAAGCCAAGACCAAAAUGAAGGAACAAGGGAAAAAGAGUGAGAAAGCUGGGAACAGAGUAAAGCUGGGCUUGGGGGAACUGAGCUACCUGUAAGACAGAUCUCUGUUAGGGGAAGAGAGACUAAACUACAGCUGAACAGAACAAGGGGCUAGUAAACUUGGAUUUGACUUAGGCUUGAUUAACCCCAAGGAAGUCCAGUUGGCAGGUGGGAUGUUGGGUUAGGGUUACAGUUAGGGUUGGCCUAUUAUUUUGUUUGACUUCCUGCUCCUCUAGCUGGUAGCACUAGCCACAUGCAGCCACUCAUCAGAACAAGCUGGAGCCAAAAGCAAGAGGGAGAAUAUUUAAAUCCAGCCAACAGCUGAUUGGAUGGUCCCAUGAGCAGCAUGGACUGUAUGGAAAAACGGGUCCGAUCAGGGGCUGCCUCAAGCUCCAUAGCAGACCAUCAGAACUACUUCAGUGGAGUCAUUCCUGGUAUCAAAACCCAAGUGACUACCUGUUGGACCAGCAGCCUCAUAUCCUAGCUGAUGGCCAUCCCAGGGGUCACCAAUAUGAGCUUCUGCCCUGAAGUGCCUCUUCCACUGCAAGAAUAUCACACUGGACUGACUACCUUUUGUACAUUAAGUUUAUUACCUAAUAAAUGCUCCUA
This 1463-nucleotide long non-coding RNA is filed under the name Homo sapiens (human). Its description in RNAcentral is "HSALNT0012334". The record is from RNAcentral. Lineage: Eukaryota; Metazoa; Chordata; Mammalia; Primates; Hominidae.